RNAcentral lists this ribosomal RNA (848 nucleotides) under uncultured bacterium. RNAcentral describes it as "bacterial SSU rRNA". It matches the Rfam family "Bacterial small subunit ribosomal RNA", at positions 679 to 1525 of the family's 1533-position model. The record is from RNAcentral.
AGGUGAAAUUCGUAAAUAUUAGGAGGAACACCAGUGGCGAAGGCGUCUAUCUGGUUCAAAUCUGACGCUGAGGCGCGAAGGCGUGGGGAGCAAACAGGAUUAGAUACCCUGGUAGUCCACGCUGUAAACGAUGAAUGUUAAAUAUGGGAAGUUUUACUUUCUGUAUUACAGCUAACGCGUUAAACAUUCCGCCUGGGGACUACGGUCGCAAGAUUAAAACUCAAAGGAAUUGACGGGGACCCGCACAAGCGGUGGAGCAUGUGGUUUAAUUCGAUGCAACGCGAAAAACCUUACCACUCCUUGACAUGGAAAUUAUACCUAUUCGAAGGGAUAGGGUCGGUUCGUCCGGGUUUCACACAGGUGUUGCAUGGCUGUCGUCAGCUCGUGUCAUGAGAUGUUGGGUUAAGUCCCGCAACGAGCGCAACCCUCAUCCUUAGUUACCAUCAGGUAAUGCUGGGGACUUUAAGGAAACUGCCAGUGAUAAACUGGAGGAAGGUGGGGAUGAUGUCAAGUCAUCAUGGCCCUUAUGGAGUGGGCUACACACGUGCUACAAUGGUGGCUACAAUGGGCUGCAAAGUCGCGAGGCUAAGCUAAUCCCUUAAAAGCCAUCUCAGUUCGGAUUGUACUCUGCAACUCGAGUGCAUGAAGUUGGAAUCGCUAGUAAUCGUGGAUCAGCACGCCACGGUGAAUACGUUCUCGGGUCUUGUACACACUGCCCGUCACGCCAUGGGAAUUGGUUUCACUCGAAGCUAACGACCUAACCGCAAGGAGGGAGUUAUUUAAAGUGGGAUCGGUGACUGGGAAGAGGUCGUAACAAGGUAGCAGUAGGGGAAUCUGCGGCUGGAUCA